RNAcentral lists this ribosomal RNA (591 nucleotides) under Colletotrichum gloeosporioides. Its description in RNAcentral is "eukaryotic LSU rRNA". The stretch from base 228 to 381 matches the Rfam family "5.8S ribosomal RNA". Lineage: Eukaryota; Fungi; Ascomycota; Sordariomycetes; Glomerellales; Glomerellaceae. The record is from RNAcentral.
AGGAAGUAAAAGUCGUAACAAGGUCUCCGUUGGUGAACCAGCGGAGGGAUCAUUACUGAGUUUACGCUCUACAACCCUUUGUGAACAUACCUAUAACUGUUGCUUCGGCGGGUAGGGUCUCCGCGACCCUCCCGGCCUCCCGCCUCCGGGCGGGUCGGCGCCCGCCGGAGGAUAACCAAACUCUGAUUUAACGACGUUUCUUCUGAGUGGUACAAGCAAAUAAUCAAAACUUUUAACAACGGAUCUCUUGGUUCUGGCAUCGAUGAAGAACGCAGCGAAAUGCGAUAAGUAAUGUGAAUUGCAGAAUUCAGUGAAUCAUCGAAUCUUUGAACGCACAUUGCGCCCGCCAGCAUUCUGGCGGGCAUGCCUGUUCGAGCGUCAUUUCAACCCUCAAGCUCUGCUUGGUGUUGGGGCCCUACAGCCGAUGUAGGCCCUCAAAGGUAGUGGCGGACCCUCCCGGAGCCUCCUUUGCGUAGUAACUUUACGUCUCGCACUGGGAUCCGGAGGGACUCUUGCCGUAAAACCCCCCAAUUUUCCAAAGGUUGACCUCGGAUCAGGUAGGAAUACCCGCUGAACUUAAGCAUAUCAUAA